UCUUGAGUACGGUCGAGGUAGGCGGAAUGUGUAAUGUAGCGGUGAAAUGCAUAGAUAUUACCCAGAACACCGAUUGCGUAGGCAGCUUACCAGCUUGGAACUGACGCUGAUGCACGAANGCGUGGGGAGCGAACAGGAUUAGAUACCCUGGUAGUCCACGCCGUAAACGAUGAUCACUCGCUGUUGGCAAUAUAGAGUCAGCGGCUGAGCGAAAGCAUUAAGUGAUCCACAUGGGGAGUACGUCGGCAACGAUGAAACUCAAAGGAAUUGACGGGGGCCCGCACAAGCGGUGGAACAUGUGGUNUAGUUCGAUGAUACGCGAGGAACCUUACCUGGGCUUAAAUGUAGCCGGACGAUUCCGGAAACGGGAUUUCCUAACAGGCUGGUUACAAGGUGCUGCAUGGCUGUCGUCAGCUCGUGCCGUGAGGUGUCGGGUAAGUCCCAUNNACGAGCGCAACCCUAUUUCUUAGUGCCAGCGCGGUAGAGCCGGGGACUCUAGGGAGACUGCCACCGUAAGGUGUGAGGAAGGUGGGGAUGACGUCAAGUCAGCACGGCCANUACGUCCAGGGCUACACACGUGUACAUNNNGNCCGUACAGAAGGCAGCAACUUUGAGAGAGGGCGCGAAUCCAUGAAAGNCCGUCUCAGUUCGGAUCGGAGUCUGCAACCCGACUUCAUGAAGU
Molecule: ribosomal RNA, 682 nt
Filed under: uncultured organism
Description: bacterial SSU rRNA
Rfam family: Bacterial small subunit ribosomal RNA
Source: RNAcentral